GACGAACGCUGGCGGCGUGCUUAACACAUGCAAGUCGAACGGAAAGGCCCUGCUUUUGUGGGGUGCUCGAGUGGCGAACGGGUGAGUAACACGUGAGUAACCUGUCCUUGACUUUGGGAUAACUUCAGGAAACUGGGGCUAAUACCGGAUACGAGCUCCUGCUGCAUGGUGGGGGUUGGAAAGUUUCGGCGGUUGGGGAUGGACUCGCGGCUUAUCAGCUUGUUGGUGGGGUAGUGGCUUACCAAGGCUUUGACGGGUAGCCGGCCUGAGAGGGUGACCGGCCACAUUGGGACUGAGAUACGGCCCAGACUCCUACGGGAGGCAGCAGUGGGGAAUAUUGCACAAUGGGCGGAAGCCUGAUGCAGCAACGCCGCGUGCGGGAUGACGGCCUUCGGGUUGUAAACCGCUUUCGCCUGUGACGAAGCGUGAGUGACGGUAAUGGGUAAAGAAGCACCGGCUAACUACGUG
RNAcentral lists this ribosomal RNA (468 nucleotides) under uncultured bacterium. Its description in RNAcentral is "partial 16S ribosomal RNA". It matches the Rfam family "Bacterial small subunit ribosomal RNA", at positions 28 to 507 of the family's 1533-position model. The record is from RNAcentral.